RNAcentral lists this ribosomal RNA (254 nucleotides) under uncultured bacterium. Its description in RNAcentral is "partial 16S ribosomal RNA". It matches the Rfam family "Bacterial small subunit ribosomal RNA", at positions 524 to 776 of the family's 1533-position model. The record is from RNAcentral.
UACGAAGGGGGCUAGCGUUGCUCGGAAUUACUGGGCGUAAAGCGCGCGUAGGCGGGUCGUUAAGUCGGGGGUGAAAUCCUGGAGCUCAACUCCAGAACUGCCUUCGAUACUGGCGAUCUUGAGUCCGGGAGAGGUGAGUGGAACUCCGAGUGUAGCGGUGAAAUGCGUAGAUAUCUGGAGGAACACCGGUGGCGAAGGCGGCAUCCUGGACCAACACUGACGCUGAGUGAGCGAAAGCCAGGGGAGCAAACGGG